RNAcentral lists this long non-coding RNA (849 nucleotides) under Sus scrofa (pig). RNAcentral's name for it is "lncRNA (ENSSSCG00065026578.1)". The record is from RNAcentral. Lineage: Eukaryota; Metazoa; Chordata; Mammalia; Artiodactyla; Suidae.
UCCACCCCCACCCUGAGCCCCUGCCGGCCUUACCAGAGCUCCCUGAGCAAGGAAGCAGUCACUGUCCUGCAAGGUCCUGGUCUGGGCCCAGGUCCAGCCGGCCUCGGGGGGUGGGGGGGCAGAGGACGCUGUGGACUCAGCAGCACGGAGGGCCGCAGGGUCGUGCGUGGCCUGAGCCUGCACCCUCAUGGCCAGUGUUCCCAGGCCGCGUGUUCAGUCAGCUCCCCUGGGCUCUGUGUGUGUGUGUGUGUGUGUGUGUGUGUGCGUGCGCGCGCACGUGCACUCGCGCACAUGCUCACAGGUGCCUGCACGCCCAGCCCCGGGCUGGGGUGAGGAUCCAGCAGCCAUCAGGACCGGACACAGGCAGGCCCAGCCCAGCAGCAGGGCCUCAAGGGCCCAUGGAGGGCCCAGCGCUGAUGGCCGAAGGGAGUGGGGGUCGGGGGCGAUGGGAAGCCGGCAUCAGGCUCUCGGUGCUCAUCUGUGUGGCUCUGCGGGUCAGAACUUCACCCCUCCUCCGGCCGAAGGGUGCAGGAUGGACAGUGGAAUUCAUUCCAUUUGGCCAAGAAGGGCCCGCUCCUCCCUGGGUGGACAUUUGCCUGCGCUCCUUACACUGAGCAUCGGAGCCCCCGCAGACCUUCAGGAUCUAUGAGACGAAAGCCGAGAGCUUACUAAGAGCUCAGAGCACCACUAAGGCAGAUGAGGGCAACGGCCCGGGUUCUGGGCUCUCUCGGUCACUACCAUGGAGACCGGUAUGUACCGACCUUGGUGUUGCAAAAUGCGCGUUCCGGGUCUGCCCAUGGUCGGCUGCCUCAGGGCCCGCACGGUCUGUUCCUCUGCCCGCCCUCCCCC